Austrofundulus limnaeus is the source of this 769-nucleotide long non-coding RNA. RefSeq lists it as uncharacterized. The record is from RefSeq and is a predicted model, not a curated record. The transcript has 3 exons. Lineage: Eukaryota; Metazoa; Chordata; Actinopteri; Cyprinodontiformes; Rivulidae.
CCCUGAAUGUACAGCACCUUGUGAAUUUAUUUCUGUCAAAGGUGCUAUAUAAAUAAAACUUUACUUACUUACUUACUCCUCACACUUCACACAAUGAAGAUGGUGAGCUACACUGUAGCCACAGCUGCCCUGGGGCACACUGACACAGAUUUGAAUCAUCCUCUCAGAGUGGGCUGAUCAKUUUCAGGAUGAAUUCCUUCAGACUUCGUUUCACAAGAUGUCAAAAGAAGAGGAGUCUGAUGCUUGUUUCCAUGGCAACAAGAAGCAGGUCCUUGAUGACAUCACAGAUUCCUCCUCAUCCUCCUCCGCCUGGAUCAAGACAUCCUCUCUCUCCACAGGAGCAGCUCAKGCUGUGGACAGUCUGGGAGCAAACAGCUCCAGUAUGGACCAGUAAGAUCUGCAGGAUGAGGAGCUCACACACUGAAUCAUCUGCCAACAUUUCCCACAAUGCAACGCUCUGCCCUCAGGCUGCCCACCAGUGGAAACAAUAAACAGGAGGAAGUGGAUGAUCUGAGCAUGAAGCAGCUCUGCUGCCCUCCUGAGGAGAAGGAUCAGAACUGUCCUCAUGUCCAUCAGCUGCUACAAAAUAAAAGACUUUCACAAUCACUUUAUAUCGUUUCCCUGCAAACUUGAUGACUUUUUCACCUGUUUUUCUGUUUUCUUCACCUGAUUCCAGAUGUUCUUAAUCCUCCACACCAGGGCUAUUCAACUGGCGGCCCGUGGGCCACAUUCGGCCCGCGAGUGACCAACAUUCGGCCCACCAAUUGGU